CAAAUCCUUCCAUGGUUCUGGCCACUUGCCCUCACAGUUUCAGCGCCCCCUGGUGCCCUAAGCACCCAGUCCUUUCAUGCAAAGGGUGGGAAAAAGCCCAUUUAUAGCACCUUUUACCGACACACCUUUUAAAGGUUUAGGAAAUAUAGCCAAUAAAGUGUUUUUUAAAUGACGGCACGAGGUGGAACGUGAAGCCGUGCGCAUGCACGGGCAACAUUGCCGUAUUGUUUCGCCUCCAUUAUUGCAACUCGCCGAUUGACGAUUUCUAUAAAAUGAAUGACCGAGUGCGCUUUAUUGGUUCUCCUGGAGCAAAUAGCCUUGUUAAAAGAGUUGCUGAGGUCCUCCAGCACCUCCUGGGAUUUUAUUCUUUUCGGAAAAGCUCCGGAACAAAAGCAAGCAACGUUUUUAUUGUCGGAUUUUAUUCCCAUUUAACAAUUACCUGCUGGAUACAAACAUUGCAAAUCAGCCCAGGAAUGGUUUAAAAUCUUCUCUAAAAGGUUACCUAAAGACCCCCCUGGGCAUGUUUUUAUGAUUAAAAACAUUCCGAACUUUGGAGCUCAGAACCUUCGCAGCCAGCCAGGAAACGUUGGAUCCAAGUCGCCUCCUGGACCUCCUCCACCGCCCCGCACCUCCAGAGAACCAAACAGACGACUGGGGCAACGAACUCCUGCAGCGCCGCUUCAGGACGUCCUGGUUGGAAAAGGCCCCGCCGCCAUCGCCGCCAGGGUUUCUGUGUGUUACCUCUGACCCAACAGCUUGUACACAGAAUAUUUAUGACCGAUCCACACGCAUGGGCGGAUAUUUCAGCAGAGUUCUGUCUUUGAGUGCCGGGUCAGGCUUAAAAACCUUUUCCUUGAGGCCGCCGCUGACUGACCUCUCCCCACCUCCGGGUUCUACACGGGCCUGCUGAUGGACUCUGAUUUCUGCUGAGUCGGUGCUCUGUAAAUAUGUCCAGAGCUUCUCGGCCUCAUCGAUCUGCGUCCCCUCCCGACUGUUUUACCGCCCAGCCAGCAGUGCUAAAGUGCUUUUACUGCUGUGAGAAAGUUCAGAUGGAAUAAAAGGGUAAAUGAGAGGGAAUGUGUGUAAAAUGUUGUGUAAAAACAACCGUGGAGUAGACGAGGACGUGGGUUCCAGUGUAGGACAGCAGCGCUCAGACCUCUUUACCCAGACGAGCAUGCCAACAUUAAUCCCUUUCCGUCUGGGAGCACUGACCUCUUUUGUCCAGUUGAUGGCUUAUUACCGGUAUUGAUUUUGGCUUUCUUUAUUUUACUGACUUCCUGCAGGGAGACGGAGGACUCACACACAUAUCAGCUGCUGUCGGCCGCCGACAACAACGCUGCAGCUUUACGCCACCAAAAGUUGCGUUGUUGUUCAGUGUUUUGCAUCACCGUGCACUCUAUUCUUGUUUUAACAGUGGAACGCGCACGUGUGUAAGGGCGCCCGUGGAUUUGGCUCGUUUAGCCGCAUGUGGUCGGUUUGUUGAUGGGAGAUUCCAUCCGCUGCAGUUGAGGUAAGACGCACAAAACAUCCUAAAAUGAGCCUCUUUUUCCUCUGUUAAGUUGAAAAGAAUUCAGAAUUAUUUCCUGAUUAGGUUCGUUUUUAAUCUGCAAGAGUUUAAGCUGAAUAGAGCUAAUUUGUUUAUACAAACAUGAAAUAAGGAGGCUAAAAUGAUGAUAGAUGAGUUGAGGGUAG
Molecule: long non-coding RNA, 1692 nt
Filed under: Takifugu rubripes (torafugu)
Lineage: Eukaryota; Metazoa; Chordata; Actinopteri; Tetraodontiformes; Tetraodontidae
Description: lncRNA (ENSTRUG00000032568.1)
Source: RNAcentral